UUUUUCACCACAAUAUGAGAAAACAUCAAAUAUCACCCCUAUAAUUUCAUACUUUUUUAUUUUAAUACUUUAUAGUUUAAAAUGUAUUAAUUUAGUGUCCUAUAAUUUUAUUUUUAUCUUUUUAUUAUCGAUUUCACUAAUUUUUUUUAUUGAAUCGGUGAUAAAGUUAAAACUAAAGAAUAUUAAAGUGAAUAUUCGAUAAAUCUAGGUGAGAUACCUGAAGUUUUUUCUAUAUAAUUUAAUAAAAUAUUAACGAAAAAAUAAAAAUAAAACCACAUUACACUAACUUAAUACACUUUAAACCACAGGAUACUAAAGUGAGAAAAUACGAAACCACAUAGGUGGUAUUUGAAGUUUAUCCUAUUUAGAAUAAUAAUUAGGCUAAAUUUUUAAAAAAAAAUUGAAAAUACUUAUUUUUUUUCUUUUUUUCUAACUUUUAAAAAGCUGCAUUUACUUGCUUAAUAUUUUAAGUUGUUGCAUUUAAACCCCCUUUGUCAGGGUUCCAUCAUUAUUCCGUCUAUUUUGUAUAAUUUAUACCAAAAAAAUAUCCUUCGAAAUAACAGAAUAUAUUAAAAAAAAAAUUUUGUAUAGAAGAAGUAAGGAUAAACUGAUUAUUUUGCCUUCUCCAUUAAUAUUGUAUUUCUUAAAAAUAUUUUUGAAAUUUUAAAGAGCUAAAAUAUAGAUUUUUGAAAAUCAGCAAGGGAAAAAAAAAAAAGAAGUAUUUACAGAAAAUUUUUUUGUAAUUUAGCCUAAUAAUUAAGUGGGCAGAUCCCUAACGACGUCUUAUUGAAAAAACUGUGAUUUUAACCUUCGAUUUUUUAGGUAUUUUUUAAUAGUAAAAUUUUUAAAAAUAAUUAAAUUUUAAGGGAAAGGAUUAUAAAUUUUUGAUAGCGGUAAAAGUGACGCGUGGCGACUAGUUGGGUCUUCUUAAGGAGGCGUCUUUGGGGAGCUCGCUACUUAGUUUUUUUUUUUUUUUACAAGUGCAGUUUAAUAAUUGGCCUUUUUGCAUAAAAAAUCCACUUAUUUUGGACUUUUGCAAAAUCGGGUCACUUUUUUCGUUUUUGCAGAUUCGGUCCGUUUUUUCAGUAAACUGACCAAAAUACCCUUAUUACUUUUUNUUCGUAUCGAAUGAUUCUGUUGACAAUGAGCGGCGGGAUUAACAUGUGGAUUGUAGGGAACUCGCUCUGCAUCCACUUAUUAGGGUGAGAACACUACAUCAUGUUGUGGGCUAGAUCCGAAUCCGAGAACCAGCAUAUGCCGGAAUAUUCCUCCUGCCCACAAAUGCAUGAACUCUCCCUGUACUAUCCCCAUCUCGCGAUUUGGUCCCUGUACUUCUCACUAUUUAUAUUGCUAAAUUUUCUUUUUUAUGCUUCUCCGUUUUAUAAUUGAAUCCGUAUUCGUAUUCGUAUUCGUAUUCGUAUUCGUAUUCGUUUAACAUCUAAUUCAUAUUCAAGUCUGAUUAUACUAGAUAUGAAUUUGAAGUUUAGUAUCUGUAUCCGUAUCGCGAUUCGGUACAAAAAUAUGGAGAUGGAUGUGGAUGGAGUGCUAUUCGAGAUCCAUAUCCGACCGAUUUCCAUCCCUCCGGAUCCGCCUAGGAAUGUCGGCGGGGCGGAUUCGGGACAGGUUUUCAAAAAUUCGAAUCCGAACCCGAUUCAAAACCCGAAACUUGAAGCCGAACCAGAAAAUCCGAAUCCGAAAUAAUCAUUUCUCUUUUCAAUAUUUUAAAAUGUAUUUAUAUUAAAUUUAAAUUUUUACAAUACAAAUUCAAAUAUAACAUCAAAUUUUAUAUACAUAUUAUAUAUAAUAUAAAAUAAAUUUAGAUUCGGUUCGGAUUCGGGUUUAGAUUGGAUGCAGUCAAAAUUUUGAUAAAAUUUACUAUCGAAUAAAUCUGCUUUGUUCGGAUUUAAUUUUUGAUAAAAUUUUGAUAUGGGUAUCUAUCGAAAUCUCUAGAUCCGCCGAGGGAGGGUACGUGGCGUGAUUUGCAUGCAUGCAAUGCAUUAUGGCAUCAUGAUAUAUAUAUGAGGAUGGGAUGAUGAUGGUGAUGGCGAUGGUGAUGAUGAGGGGGUAAUGUAUCAUGACGCGAUCAGUGGGCGCUGAUCUCGAGGGGCCACGUGGGGGCCCGACGGUGGUGGAGGAAGGACAAAAAGGAAGACGCGCACCGGGCACCUAACCACGUGGCCGGUCGUUUUCUCUCGCUCCCCAUUUCCGCCAUUUGCGGUGGAGAUCGUGGAGAUUGGGGAUUUAUCCCUAAAUUUGAUUCAUUUGGGGAUACGGGGGUUUUUCACCACAAUAUUUAGAAGAGAAAACAUCAAAUACCACCCCUAUAAUUUCAUACUUUUUUACUUUAGUACUUUAUAGUUUAAAGUGUAUUAAUUUAGUGUCCUAUAGUUUCAUUUUUAUCUUUUUAUUAUUAAUUUCACUAAUUUUUUCUAUUAAAUCAGUGAUAAAGUUAAAACUAAAAAAUACUAAAGUGAAUAUUCGAUAAAUCUAUGUGGGAUACCUAAAGUUUUUUGUAUAUAAUUUAACGAAAUAUUAACGGAAAAAUAGACGAAAAAAUAAAAAUAAAACCACAGUACGGUAACUUAAUACACUUUAAACCACACAGGAUAGUGAAGUAAGAAAAUACGAAACCACAUAGGUGGUAUUUGAAGUUUAUCCUAUUUAGAAUAAUAAUUAGGCUAAAUUUUUUUUAAAAAAAUUGAGAAUACUUUUUUUUCUUUUUUUCUAACUUUUAAAAAGCUGCAUUUACUCGCUUAAUAUUUUAAGUUGUUGCAUUUAGACCCCCUUUGUCAGGGUUCAAUCAUUAUUUCGUCUCUUUUGUAUAAUUUAUACCAAAAAAUAUCCUUCGAAAUAACAGAAUAUAUUAAAAAUUAUUUUUUUUAUGGAAGAAGUAAGGAUAAACUGAUUAUUUUGCCUUCUCCAUUAAUAUUGUAUUUCUUAAAAAUAUUUUUGAAAUUUUAAGGAGCUAAAAUAUAGAUUUUUGAAAAUCAGGAAGGAAAAAUAAAAAAGAAGUAUUUACAGAAAAUUUUUUUGUAAUUUAGCCUAAUAAUUAAGUGGG
Molecule: long non-coding RNA, 3058 nt
Filed under: Ananas comosus (pineapple)
Lineage: Eukaryota; Viridiplantae; Streptophyta; Magnoliopsida; Poales; Bromeliaceae
Description: long non-coding RNA (ACOM_LNC030870)
Source: RNAcentral